Long non-coding RNA from Triticum dicoccoides, 2929 nucleotides. RefSeq lists it as uncharacterized. The transcript is spliced from 4 exons. NCBI's taxonomy places the organism in Eukaryota, Viridiplantae, Streptophyta, Magnoliopsida, Poales, Poaceae. The record is from RefSeq and is a predicted model, not a curated record.
ACUAGAUCGAGUCUGGAUGAUUGAUCCACCGAUCACCAGCAGCUGCACCCGUGGUAAUAAAUAAAUCUAAGAAAACUGCAGCAGUCGUUCGUUUGUGCCAACUGCGUCACCGAGCGCGUCGUGUUCUUCUACUCCGCCGACGGCGCCAGGCUCUUCUUCGAGUGUGACGGCGUCGUGCACGGGUUAGCGCACUCGCGAGCCUCCACCUAUGUGCCCCGCUUUGCGACGCCUGUGACGCCGAACGCGCCACUCUCUGCUGCCAAAUCGGCGCCCACCGGGCCAUGCUCUGCGCCGGUCGCCGUGCGCUGCUGGACCGCGGCGGUGGAGCCUCCCCCGUGGAUGCUUACACCAGCGGCUACGCGCCCGCCGAGAUCGUCUGCAUCCUCUCCGUCGACGCGCCGUCGUCGCAUGAGGACUUCGAUGUCUGGCUCGCCGACAACCUCCCCCAAAUCCUACACGAGGUUCAGGUAUAACAUCUACUUGGGUAAAUUUCUAAAUUGCACUUCUUUUUUGCAACUGUAUAUGCAAUUGAAGGAGACUCUUCUUGAUGAUCUUGCGUGCCAAAUCUUACAUGGACAGUUUGAUUGUGUGAUCCAGCGACAAAAUUCAUUGAGUAGUGCUGCUAUAUAUCAGUCAAGGGAAUGGUAUAGAGAAGAGAGGAUGAUGAUAAUACAAAGUGGGUGAGAUAGUAUGAGUGAUUAGUGAAGGGGCAUAGGCUUGGUACUACACCAUCGUACAAACAAGGAAGUGGUUAGUGUGCUAUCUUUGAUGUAAAAGAGGAAGAUUUCUUUCCUGACUCAUCUAAUGGUGGAUCGAUGAUUUAAGAAGCAUAUUCAGUUCAUCUUUCAAUUUUUUGGUGCCAAGCUUGAUCUUUAUCCAACUGACUGACUGACUAAAAGUACCUUCUAAUCACUAUUGAACGCAUAUAUUAGUUAGUUUGACUGUAUACACCACAUAAAGAGAAAAAAAAUGAAUUCUAAAAAAGUUAGGCAUAGAUACUACAGAACCAGUGGACCCUCAAGAAACAAAAGGCACACCUGAAGGAUUUUUUCUUAAGAAAUGUAUUAAUUUGACUAUUUGAGUAUGCAAAAUGUGCAAUUUCAAUCUUUCCUUUUCAAGGAGAACAGGGGACUGCUUCAUACUCAAUAUGGAUGGAGGCUAAUUAUUGAUCUUCCAAGUUAAAAAUCUGAAAAUAACUUCAUUUAGUAAUGGAUAUAUGGUCAAGAAAGGAUGCCUUUCCUUAAAGAUACUGAACAAAAUCAUGUUCGUGUAUGUCCGGCUGACAGAUGAAUCAAUCUCGUUUUAAGUUUCAAACCAGCAACCUUUGUGUACGUACAUGUGUUAUCAAGGAUGCACGGAUCCAUUGGCCUGCGUACCACACAUCCCCUCACUAAUUCUAUCAGUGUCAUUCUUAACAAGGUAAGUAUGAUUGCCUAAUCUCUGAUUUUCUUAAUUGAUCUUUGGUCCUUGAUCCCUAAUGUCGUUAUAUUUUAUUGAUUUUAUAAAUGAUCUCAAACAGGAACAUACCAUUUUUUAGGCUACAGUUCCUAUAACUUGCCUUGUCAAUUUAAUAAAAUUACAUGUGUGAUGGAGGUUGUAACUUAUUACGGUUUACAUUGUCAAAAUUCUUCAAACCCUAUGCCGAUCCUCACUAUCUUUGAAACAAUCUGAUUUCUGUGUCAUUGCUAAACAUAUGUUUGGUGUGCUGGAUUUUCUGAUGUAAGAGGAAGCUAUUCGACAAUCCUGCUCAAGUUGGUAUAGAUUAGAUCGAUUUUAUUCAGUAAAUAUUUAUGCUUGAUAGAUGAAAGCCUCCCUCUUCUGCCCUUCUUUUCUCCAUCCUCUGUAGGUCGCGAGCACAUGUGAAUCGUUGUCGUCAAGAGCAUGCUUGUGACAUCAUUACUAUACGUGAUGCAGCGCAAAAGGACGUUGUCAGGAGUUAAGUGUUCAAGCGCAAUCUCUAGCCAAGUUCCCUUUGUUGUUGUGUUGAAUUUUGGGGAAAGGCGGCCAAGCAGCUCGUGGCAUCUGUGUCGCGCCUGCUCCGCCGCUACCUUGACUCGCCGACAACGUCGCCCGUUGGGCUGCAGGGGUGCAAGACGACCGUGGGGCCCAUUGCAUGGGUGCUGAGUAUGCUUGAUUUCCAUGUCGGAGACGAAGGCCCUAGAGCUUGGUGGCUUAUGUGUGAUGUUUUUUUCCUCCCAUUGCAACACAUCGAUUGAUUUAUUCAUGCAUCCGUCGAUUUACUCUGAAUUGUUUUCAGUCGUCAAACAUUAACUGGAUUGACUCGUGGAUAUGCAUUGUGACAAGUCGUGUGAGAUGAAGGUGGUGAACCAUCUCAAUAUGAAGCCAAGUAUGGUGGAUUUGCCAUGGAUGAUGGUAGACCGAUAGGCGGCUGGGUGCAUGAAUAAUUGUCAAGGUGGCCGAAGCUAGCGCUAUUUUUGUUGGACUGAAGGAAUUGUAUAAGGUAUUUCGAGGCUCCCUGGUGGUGGAGAUCGACUACGCAGUGGGGAAAUGAGCUAGGGGUUGAUUUUGUAAGCAGAUCAUUGUCCUACUCAAUUAUUGUUGAUAUUAAAUCUGCCGAAGCUCCCAGAGACCUUAUGGUUGCGGAUGGUGUCGCGGACCAAUUAUAUGCUCUGCUCUGGAAGGAAAAUGAUGCAGCCUUGACGUCGGCCUAAGUCUUGAUGUUUGAUUGGUGAAGCUACAUUCAGCAAAGAAGAUAUGUUUAUUUGUGGGAAUUAAUUUUCGCAGGGAAUAUCCAUCCAUCCAUGCACAAGACUGACAAUAUCAUUCUUUAACAAUGUGCACUUGGCCUCUACUCUGUCGUGCGUAGAGAUAAGGCUGGGACAUCUAUUGUUUUUUGUACAAUCUUACACUGUAAAAUAAUUUUUGGUACCAAACAUGUUAACAAGGGCGCAAGUUUUUUCAUACAUUA